ACAGCAGUAGCCGCGGGAAUACGUAGGGUGCAAGCGUUAAUCGGAAUUACUGGGCGUAAAGCGUGCGCAGGCGGUUUUGUAAGACAGAGGUGAAAUCCCCGGGCUCAACCUGGGAACUGCAUUUGUGACUGUAUAGCUAGAGUACGGCAGAGGGGGAUGGAAUUCCGCGUGUAGCAGUGAAAUGCGUAGAUAUGCGGAGGAACACCGAUGGCGAAGGCAAUCCCCUGGGCCUGUACUGACGCUCAUGCACGAAAGCGUGGGGAGCAAACAGGAUUAGAUACCCCCGUAGUCCCUGUCUCUUAUAC
RNAcentral lists this ribosomal RNA (305 nucleotides) under uncultured bacterium. Its description in RNAcentral is "partial 16S ribosomal RNA". It matches the Rfam family "Bacterial small subunit ribosomal RNA", at positions 506 to 807 of the family's 1533-position model. The record is from RNAcentral.